CAGGGUCAUGUGAUGAACAGAAGCAUAGUUCAGAUGAUAUUUUUGUGAUUAUUUCGUUUUAAGUCUUUCGCUCCUAUCUGAUGACCCUU
This is a small nucleolar RNA of Neltuma alba, 89 nucleotides long. RefSeq annotates it as small nucleolar RNA snR60/Z15/Z230/Z193/J17. The record is from RefSeq and is a predicted model, not a curated record. The transcript has a single exon. Lineage: Eukaryota; Viridiplantae; Streptophyta; Magnoliopsida; Fabales; Fabaceae.